RNAcentral lists this long non-coding RNA (499 nucleotides) under Homo sapiens (human). Its description in RNAcentral is "HSALNT0371598". The record is from RNAcentral. Lineage: Eukaryota; Metazoa; Chordata; Mammalia; Primates; Hominidae.
AAAUCUUCUCCCGGACUUCUCCCAGGUUUUCAACCUAGAAGCAUCUUUCUCCUGGACCUGGAAGCGAUCCCUUUGAAACACAGUCAUAAAGACAGGGCCUCUGUCUCCUGGGUCCUGUGGGAAGAGUCCUCAGGUGACCUUGGGAGUUCAUGCUUCCUCUCUAAGCCUUCGACCCCAAGCUGAAACAGUGGAGCUGCUGGAGAUGGUACUGGGUGCCCCUGCUAGCUGAGACAUUGCAGGACUUUUGGGACACGAGGUUCUGCCACUCUGAUCAGUCGUCAUCACCGUGUGUGCACAAGAGAACCCUGCAGAGCUUCCCAUGCUACAGCCAUUCAAACCUCUAAUCCUUGGAAUCCUGGUGUGGGAAAACUCAAGUGAAAAUGCCCAGGAAAUUCUGAUUGCUGCAGAGACAUUGAGGGAAUCAGCGAAUCUGGCAAUGAGGUUCUUACUGCAACCCCUAGAGGCAGCUGUCUUAAUGAAGAUGUGGGAACAGGGAGGC